RNAcentral lists this ribosomal RNA (450 nucleotides) under uncultured bacterium. RNAcentral describes it as "bacterial SSU rRNA". It matches the Rfam family "Bacterial small subunit ribosomal RNA", at positions 354 to 796 of the family's 1533-position model. The record is from RNAcentral.
GUAGGGAAUCUUCCGCAAUGGACGAAAGUCUGACGGAGCAACGCCGCGUGAGUGAAGAAGGAUUUCGGUUCGUAAAACUCUGUUGUUAGGGAAGAAUGAAUAUGUAGUAACUAUACAUGUUAGAGACGGUACCUAACCAGAAAGCCACGGCUAACUACGUGCCAGCAGCCGCGGUAAUACGUAGGUGGCAAGCGUUGUCCGGAAUUAUUGGGCGUAAAGCGCGCGCAGGUGGUUUAAAAAGUCUGAUGUGAAAGCCCACGGCUCAACCGUGGAAUGUCAUUGGAAACUGUUAAACUUGAGUGCAGGAGAGAAAAGUGGAAUUCCUAGUGUAGCGGUGAAAUGCGUAGAGAUUAGGAGGAACACCAGUGGCGAAGGCGGCUUUUUGGCCUGUAACUGACACUGAGGCGCGAAAGCGUGGGGAGCAAACAGGAUUAGAAACCCUAGUAGUCC